Molecule: ribosomal RNA, 505 nt
Filed under: uncultured bacterium
Lineage: Bacteria
Description: bacterial SSU rRNA
Rfam family: Bacterial small subunit ribosomal RNA
Source: RNAcentral
GAUGAACGCUAGCGGCGGGCCUAACACAUGCAAGUCGAGGGGUAACAGAAGAAGCUUGCUUCUUGCUGACGACCGGCGAACGGGUGCGUAACGCGUAUGCAAUCUACCUCUAACUGGAGGAUAGCCCAGAGAAAUCUGGAUUAAUACUCCAUAGUAUUGUUCUUUCGCAUGUUAGAACAAUUAAAAUUUCGAUGGUUAGAGAUGAGCAUGCGUCCUAUUAGCUAGUUGGUAAGGUAAUGGCUUACCAAGGCUACGAUAGGUAGGGGGCCUGAGAGGGUGAUCCCCCACACUGGUACUGAGACACGGACCAGACUCCUACGGGAGGCAGCAGUGAGGAAUAUUGGUCAAUGGACGAAAGUCUGAACCAGCCACGCCGCGUGAAGGAUGAAUGCCCUAUGGGUUGUAAACUUCUUUUGUAUGGGAAGAAACCUUUCUACGUGUAGAGAGCUGACGGUACCAUACGAAUAAGCACCGGCUAACUCCGUGCCAGCCGCCGCCGUAACAC